UUAACACACUACAAACUCAAAUCAUGUACAAACUCAGAAUAUUCUUGGCCACUACUGCGAGAAUAUGAGAGACCCAUUUACAGAAACAAGUGUUGACAACAUUUCAGCCAAGAUGAGUCGCGUUAAGCUGGAAGGUGCAAUGUCGGAGACGGAGGAGGCGUCUGGCGGCUCAGUGACA
Pseudophryne corroboree (corroboree frog) is the source of this 178-nucleotide long non-coding RNA. RefSeq lists it as uncharacterized. The record is from RefSeq and is a predicted model, not a curated record. Lineage: Eukaryota; Metazoa; Chordata; Amphibia; Anura; Myobatrachidae. The transcript is spliced from 3 exons.